CGGUGCUUGCAUCACCUGACACCGGAUGACCGGAUUAAUCGGAUUAGCUCGCUCACUUGUGGACGAGCCCGCAUCUUCCGGGUCCCGUCCCUCCGUCACGGAGGU
Molecule: non-coding RNA, 105 nt
Filed under: Streptomyces cyaneofuscatus
Lineage: Bacteria; Bacillati; Actinomycetota; Actinomycetes; Kitasatosporales; Streptomycetaceae
Also listed under: 1 other name
Description: NLPC-P60 RNA
Rfam family: NLPC-P60 RNA
Source: RNAcentral